Long non-coding RNA from Planococcus citri (citrus mealybug), 1939 nucleotides. RefSeq lists it as uncharacterized. The transcript is spliced from 3 exons. The record is from RefSeq and is a predicted model, not a curated record. NCBI's taxonomy places the organism in Eukaryota, Metazoa, Arthropoda, Insecta, Hemiptera, Pseudococcidae.
UCCGGUCGGACUGCCCCGCCAAGCUAGAAAAAAAAACGCACACAAAAAAAACAACAAUAACAAUAAUACAAACGUGAUGACAGUCCGGCCACUUACUGCUAACAUUCUCUGAACAACUAAGCGUAUUUUCGAUGUUCAAUUUCUCGCGAAUAAAAAAACGUACAAUUCUGAUUUUUUGAUAUGUUGUUGGCAUCAACGAGAGCUUUAAUUUGGUAUAUUUACAAACUUUCUACGGUAAGAAAUUAUGUAGAUUGGAGUACCCAAAGUUAGCAUUUUGGGGUAAUUUUUGAAAUCACAAAUCUUCGUGUCAACAAAAAACUACUGAACCAAUUCAAGUCAAAUUUCGUACACUGGUGUAAAUUAACGAGUUAUUUCUAAAUACAACGUCAGUUUUUAAAAAAAAUUAUUUUUGACCCACUUUUUCUCAAUUUGAAAAUUUCUCUCCCCCCAAAAACACCCCCAAAAUGAAAAUUUUUUGUGGUACCGUAGAAAAGCAUCAUCUACGUCAUAUUCACUAUCAAUGUGCAAAAUUUCAAGCAAAUCGGUUCAUUAGGAGAGGCUGUAGCCUUGACAACGGAAAUUACCUUCAUGAUUUUUCAGUGACAGAAAUGAGAAAGUAGUGGAAUAGAAGAAACAAAAUAAAAAUUUUUAGUUGAAGUGUAAAAAAGGGUCAUCUACAUGACUUCCACUACCACUAUACAAAAUUUCAAGUAAAUCCGUUCAUUUGAAGAGGCUGUAGCCCUGUCAACGGAAAGUUUCCGUUGGUUAUUUUACCGAUUUACGGCGGCACCGGUGGAGAUAAAUAUAAAAGGAGUAGAAAGCAGUUUGGGCGAAGCCCAAGGGGGGGGUGUGGGGGGACAAAGUCCCCCCCAACGAAUGGAAACAGUAAACAGUGAUAAGAAGUAUUCCUUCAUGAAUCGUGAUUACUGAUUUUUAGUUUUAUAAUCGUACUUAAAAGUAUUAAAAAUGGUUGCUACUAAUAAUUUGAACGACAGAAUAAAGAACGGAGAGCUCAACCUCAGCUCCUGCGGUUUAAAAGAAAUACCUCUAAAAGAAAUCGCUGGUUUGAAACAUGUCAUGUUUGUUAAAUCUAUCUAACUACAAAAUAGCCUUGAUUCCGAGCAAGAAUCAAAGAAAAAUGACAAAAAAGCUUAAUAUUGAGGUAUCGCCACACAAACUAAACAAAAAGAUCGCAAACAGAAGUAACCUUUCAAGAUGAUGUACAGUUUUGCUCGGUUUUCACUUUUCAGUUCAUCUGAUACCUUUACUAAAUAGUUAGACAAUUGGCCAAAGUGAUCAGAGGCAAUUUGUGGAUGUACCUACAAUAUGAACGAUGAAAUGGUCCAAUAAAUUUGUCAACAAGUGAAUCUACUUAUCUAUUCGUACGAAGAGCUUUUAUUCCAUUUUGAACUGAGUAAUUCGUUGUGACUCACGAAUUACCUCAUCGUAGAGUUUCAGCAGUUAUCACUGCUGCUUUCGUACGAUUAUUUAUACAUCAUUAAUUCAUUAUCAGUUAGUUGUAUGCAAUAAUGCAGUGUGUAUUUUUGGACAUUUUUAAUUUUGAUUUGUGUUCGAAUAGCUAGUGCUAGAUUUCUGAUGUGUACAUGAUUUAUCUCAUCAUUGAUUGAGUCAACAAGUCGUAAUGCGAGUAACUACUAACUAAUUCAGCGUUGAACGCGCAUUAUUUCAAUUCUAAUACAUACAUCGAGUUGUUCAUUUUCAGAUUCAUUCUGUUUUAUGUACAGUACCUAUUACCUAACCAUAAUACAUGAUCUUGUGCGUUUCUAGUUACUUGUUGAUUUUUUCCUCCAAUGAUACGCAUCGAUAGUUGUGGUAUAAUUUACUAUCACGCGUAGAGUAUACCUAAAAUUUAGAUAAUUUCACCAAAUUAUUCGUCUGUUUGAAGAUUAAUUAUUGACUAUUGAGUGAGUAUUAUCAA